RNAcentral lists this transfer RNA (74 nucleotides) under Candidatus Roizmanbacteria bacterium. Its description in RNAcentral is "tRNA-Val". It matches the Rfam family "tRNA". From Rfam's summary of the family: Transfer RNA (tRNA) molecules are approximately 80 nucleotides in length. The record is from RNAcentral. Lineage: Bacteria; Candidatus Roizmaniibacteriota.
GGCCGCUUAGCUCAGUUGGCUAGAGCGUUGCAUUCACAUUGCAAAAGUCGGGGGUUCGAGUCCCUCAGCGGCCA